UAAGAUUUCACAUUAUAUUUAUGACUUAUGCAUGUUUGUUGGGUAUAUAUUUGAACAUUUUUUGUUCUGUUUUGAUUUAUUUACAUGCAUGUGGAUUGUGGCUAAAUCUGUGUUUGAUGAGUUUGUUACUUUGUUUCACUAAUUAGUUGGUAUGUUUGAUGAAUUGCUUGAUAAUGACCUACUAAAUCACUUAUUAGUUUGUACUUUGUAGGUUUGAUGACUUACUUUGAUUCACUUAUUACUUUGUUUUUCUGGCAUAUCAAUCUCAAAUAAUCAACUCAGAAGAAUAUGUGCUCAUCAAUGAGAGUACUAUCCCUUGCAAUGUUCUAGAAAAAAGUAUUAUUUCCUGAAUCAAAGCAUAUAAUCCACCGCUUUACUCAACAGGUUAUAAAACACACUGAGGUGUGUCAAUUUGUUUUAUUUUUUAAAAUUUUCUCACUCUUAUAAUUUGCUAAAUAAUAACAUGCCAUAAUGAUUGAUAGAAGGAAAGUUACUCUUACCUAAAUCAGUAACUUGAGAUAGGGUCUUUUUGAAGCUUUUUUAAAAGGUCUUUUGGUGGCUUUUAACUUUUGGUAACAACUGCUUCUUCAGAAUGCAGAAAUUGCUUCCUUAUUUGAUGGAAUCUUGUUUUGGUAGAUGCUUUUGGUUGCAACUUAGAGUAAUCUGUGUUUCUAUUACUUCAUUUAUUUGAAUCAGGUACGUAGCCAUCUAACUAUUUAGCUUGGUGGAUCACCUUCAUCAUUGCCUUCACAAGAGAUUAUUGAAAAGCUUGAGGAAAUUGAGCAAAGUAAGGCUAAAUGAUAUACUAUCAAACAGUAUUUACUUACUAUACUAUGACUUGAUGAGUAAUAAGAUGUCUUUUUUAAACUAGAAUUGUUUUCCCAAAACUUAUCUAGUGGCUCUAAUUCAACCCAUAUCACUAUUGAUGAAGACUGAAGAGUAGUUUGGAAGUUUUGAUAGGUAACUUUCAAUUGUGGCCACUAGCUAGUUGCUAUACAACUUAGUUUACUUUGCUAGCUAGCUAGCUUAUUCAUCUUUCAUUUAUUUGGAUAAUUGUGAAUGUUAAAGAGUCCCACAUCGGACAUAUAUGAUCUGAACAAUUGUUUAUAAGUGGGGAUAAUCCUUUCUUGUGAUCAUAUAGCAUUGAUCUCAUUGUUGCUCCUGCCUCCCUUGAAUUCCCAACAAGUGGUAUCAAACCAUGGUUCCGAACCAGGGACGUAAGGGUUUUGAAGAAUUUUUUCUUUAUUUAUGGAACCUGGCAACAAAGACAGUAUCUAACAAAAUAGUGUUUCUUCACGAGGAGUCUCACCUUUGUAAGGGUGGUAUUCAUCAGAUAAGCAAAUGGUCACUAAAUGCAAGUUGGAUUUUUUGGUUUGGUUAUCAUAAUUCUACAUACACUUAUAAGAUUGUGGCAUUUUAUCAAGAGAUUAACGAGGUGAAAGUUUUUAACAUGGGUGAUGAUGUUUGGAGAAAUAUUCAGAAUUUUCCUAUGAGUGGCACCGUUAACUGGUUGGCCAUUCAGAGUAUUAAUAUUGGUGUGUAUGUGAGUGACAUUGUUAAGUGGUUGGCCAUUCGAAAUGAGUUCAUAUAUAAUCAAUUUGUGAUGAUUUCCCUUCAUCUGAGUAUAGAGACCUACAUUUAGUUUCUACCCCUUGUGGUUUUGAUGAAGUGGUGUUUGUUGAACCCACUUUGACUAUGUUGAUGGAUUCCCUUUGUUUUUCUCAUGAUUUUUAUGGGAUUCAUUUAGUCAUAUGGCAGAUGAAAGAAUUUGUAGUUGAAGAGUCUUGGACACAGUUUUUUAACCUUAGUCACCUUAGUCUUGUACCUAAUUAUUAUGAAAGAAUUGUUCCAUAUUAGUUUCCAAACCACUUUGUUCCAUUGUCUUUCUGUGAAUGGCAAUACACUUGUAUUGGCACGGGAAGGAAAUGAUUCGGCCAGUAUCUAUAAUUUGAGAGAUAAUGGAGGAGGAGAAACUAGAAAUUAGGAAUCAAAUACAUUGGUUUUGUGCCAUGAAUUAUGUUGAAAGCUUAGUUUCAAUUGGUUUCGACUAAUUAAAAGUUUCUUUUCAAGUAUUUACUUGAAUACAUCGAUUGAAUUUUGAAUAUAAAAAAUCCUCACUUUGCAAGUCGGUUAUGUAAGGUUGAGUUAGACCCAACCACAAUUUUAAGAUAGUAUCGGAGCGCAGUUUAAGAUCUGUUGGGCCACCUGCCAUCAUGUUUCUGCUAUUGCGCCACCCACUAUUUAUAUCCAUGCUCCAGAUGUGCAGUCUUUAGUGUGGGGGUGUGUGUUAAAGAGUCUCACAUCGAACAUUAUAUGACCUGAACAAUUAUUUAUAAGUAGGGGCAAUCCUUACUUUUCAAACCGAUUUUAUAGGGUUGAGUUAGACCAAAUCCACAAUUAUUAAGAAUGAUCAUGCGUGUGUUGCUUGUGUUUCUUGCUUUUGUUGCUUUCAACUAAUGUAGUAUUGUAUAUUUCCCUUUGACUUCUUUUUGCUUUUCCCUACAAGAAGAUUGCAGUGUGUGUGCUUCAUGUGUUUAUGAAUUAUGAAUCUUCAAGUGUGUUUAAUGUAUUUAUUAUGAAUCUUCAAGUGUGUGUAAUAAUAAGUCUUCAAGCUAUGGUUUUGGGCAUAUACCAGUGAUGGUAGAGUUUUGGUGGGGUUUCUUUGUUCUAUGGUGAUUAUUUACCUGAUUUCAAUCUUCCUGAGAAUAUAUAUUGUUACUUAGUCAUUAGAUGAGUUUAGAGGAACUCUAAUUGGGCUAAUUGGGAGUUCACCUUCUGCUGCUCCUAAAGGUGCUUCCUUCAGCCAUAUGUUAUAAGUAUUUUAGCUGGUUGGACUGAAAAAGUGGGUCCCACUGACUGAACAUGCUGAUCUUAAUAAAGCACUUAAUCCUUGCUUAUUUUAUGAUUUGAAUACUAAUGACUAUUUCGCAUUCCUCUGUUCAAUUAGGUAUGAUGCUAAGAAAAUUCAGGUUUUCACUAGAGAACCAACUAGUUUAAAUAUUUGUGAAAAUGAAAAGAAAUUUGUGAGUUCUGAUAUUUAAAUUACCCUUCUUUCUCUAUGAUGUUUGCUGCAAACAAUUGAUUGGUUAAGUAUAUAAGGGUUGUUAUUAAUGGAACAAUGGAUUCUCAUCUAUCUUCCAUUUUGAAUUUUCACUCUAUUAUAAUACUCUGUUGCUAUGAAAGUGGAAACACAUUACCAUGCAUUGGUUAUGUAUUGGGUGAGUCUUGUAAUGUUGCAACUUCUAUUAGCUUAUUGUACAAACUUCAAAAUAAUCUGUUGUUGCUGUUUCAUGAAGUUGUACUCUAAACUUCUAUGUAGUUGAUGCAGUUUUUUCCAAUAAUGUAUGGAGAUGAAAUGGAAUCUGUGAAGUAAAAUGUGAUUUUAAGAUUGUUUAUUCAGAUAGUUCUGGUUUUGCAUAUAAUUAUCAUGUCUGUUAGAUAUGCAAUGGUAUAACUUCUCAGAAUAAUCCCUUGUGAGAAAGGGGUCUAAGAAAACAGAUUAAUUAAACCACCAAAUAAGCUAAAUUAUAAGUCCAUGGUAGUCAAAUUACCUUUCUUUCUCUUAGAGAUUGGAGCUGAGAUUAUUUUGAAUUUGAUUUUGGAAAGUUUGUUUGAUUUUAUUUUGAAGUUGAACUGUAAUUACAACUAGGUUGUUAUUGCUGAAGCAUGGUGCAAUUAAGUAUUUAGCUCAGUGCUUUAGUAAAUUUCAUUUUGAGAUUUCUUGCUUCUCCCUUUGUAUAUUUGUUGAAGGUUAUGAAAUGAUCAUUGUUGCUGUUUAACACCCUCUAACACACACCAGUAAUAAUCAACCAUGUUUUCUCUAAUUUAACGUAAUAAUUUAUUUUAUUAUUAAGUGCGCAUCAAAUAUAAAUGAAUAUAUAUAUUUUAUUUAAUUUAAAUUUAAAUUAUUUGUGUUUGUAAUAUACACUGUCAUGUUUUCAUGCCUGCCUUUUAUAUUUGGUGUCUCUUAAAGUAAUUGUCAUAAUAAAAUAAAAAUAAUAAUAAUUUAUUAUCAAUUAUGAAUAAAUAUAUUAUAUGUCUCAGAAAUUAAAAAAAAUAGUAAUAGUUAAUUAUGAAUCAUCAAUAAAUCCAUAAAAUGCAAUAUUUAAUAAUGAAUUAUUAAUAAAUGUUAUAAAUGUAAAAUAAAUGAAAUUAUAAAUACAAAAUACAGUGAAAAGAAAAGGAAUGUCAGAAUAAUAGUUAGAAAAAAGAAACAACACAAGUAAUAUACAUGAAUUUUGUUUAUAUCUUUCUAUUUUAAGUUUCUCUUUUUCACACACACUAAAAAAAACAAUUAUGAACGUAUUUCCUAAUACCCUAUAUAUAUAUUUUUUAAUCACCACAAGAAAAUAUUUAAGUGCUUUCAGAUUUCGGAGAUGUAUCUCUGUAUACAUCAAAGUUUAAAUUAACGUUAAAAUAUUUUGAAGAUGCAUCUAUAGAAAAAUAUUGAAAAUAUAUCUCUAAAACGAUUUGGAGCUUAUAUCGCGUCAGGAUCUUUCAUCAUCCUGAUUUCUCAUUUCACAAAAAACACUUCAAAUUCUCUCAAAUUCAUUCUCAUCAACAAGUCCAAAAUCAAGCAACCAAUGUCAAAGGAACUUCAAUCAACAUCAUAAAUAUCAUCAAACACUAAAGUAAAGUGAAGAAUUGUAAGUUUUUUAAUGUUUUGAAUAGUUUUUGAAUUUUUGUAUAAAUGAGUAGAAAUUGAUGUAUACGUUAGGAAAUCGGUAGAAAUUGGAUGAUUGAUAGUUUAGACAUAGUGUAAAACAUGAUAGUUGAUUGAACAUGAUGAUCAAUACAAUAUUUUUUUUGGUUUCCACAUCUGUAUCUCCAGAAUUUUUCAACGUUUUAUUUUUCUAGCAAUCAAAGAUGCAUCUCCAGAAUUUUCUCUGUUAUUUUUUUGUUUGUUUUUCUUGUUUGUUAUGUUGUAUGCUUGCACUAAUUGUCUGAUUUACUUUAACUUAUACACAUAAUUAUUGAUAGACAUGAUAAACUAAGGCACGUGAGGGUUGCACAACACGCAUCAGAGCAGUGGAAGAAGAGUCAACAGGUUUUUGAUGCUCAUGGUCCCUCUGACCAUGCAGAACCAUUUAGUUCUAGGGCUAGUGUUUCUCCUCAUACUUCUCCAUCUUUUUCUUCCUGUAGGAGACGAGUUUCACCUACCAACACACCAGUCUCUACACCCCCCGCACAUCAGCAAUUCAAUGAAUUAUGUUGUAUAUCUACGAUACUUUCAUAAUUUUGAAUGGAUCAAUGAGUACAAUUUAGGGGUCGUUUGUUUGGUCUACUUGUACUCGAAGUUAUCAGAGGACUGUAGGUGAAAGAUGAAGGAGGUCACAGACAACAUCACACUAUUGGCGGCUUGGAUCCUCCUGCACUUCCCAUGCAUCUUCGGCUGAGCGAGUGUACUGAGUUACUCUAAGGAUGUGUCGUAUGCUACUGCAUUUGUCCCACUGAGAGGAGACCAUGCGAUUGAGUCGUUCAGAGUGUAUCUUGAUCGCUUGGUUUCCGAGGACAUGCACUUCAACAGUUAUGUCGAUUCUCGUGAGAUGCGACCAUUUGACGAAAUAGUGCUAUACUCUGGAUGGUUGGUCUGCAGAUCAUGUCUCAUUGCUCCUCACUUGUUCGAGCGCGCGAAAAUUCGACUACACUCAGAAGAUUCUAAGACACCUUGUUGUAUCUGCUCCUCCUGCUUUGACACGUAGACAGAUGUAUGACAUGUUUGAUGAUUAUGAGAGUCAUCUGGUAUCGAAGGAGGCACGGAGUACCAUAGCCCCGAGCGAUUAAAGUUACGUGGACAGGUACAUCAGGUGUUUCUUCAGGGUGUCACAUCCGUAUAUGGUGCAUGCUACUCCAAGAGAUCCACCUAGGUCAGCUCAUCAUGAGAUACUAGAGGAGGAGCAUGCAUAAUUAUAUCAUGAUGAGGAUUUCUUGCCUAAAUACCAUCGCAUUCUGGAGAUUGCGCAGACAGACAUUGACAUAUGUAUCUUCCCUUACGGGUAUGGUGUGAGGUAGGUCCUACAUGCCAUCAUGACAGAGGCACGAGGGACAUUGAUGUACCGGAGACAGCGUCGGAGGACAGAGAAUUGAUGGUCGAGGAGGCAGAAGCGAUGUAGUCCGACAUAUAGUGCAUUAGUAUAUAGUAGUAGUACUAUGGAUUGUAUUCUAUUUUGACAUCAUGCUACUUUAUCAUUGUUCUCGACUUUUUUUUUGCCA
Lathyrus oleraceus (garden pea) is the source of this 6213-nucleotide long non-coding RNA. RefSeq lists it as uncharacterized. The record is from RefSeq and is a predicted model, not a curated record. Lineage: Eukaryota; Viridiplantae; Streptophyta; Magnoliopsida; Fabales; Fabaceae. The transcript has 2 exons.